Molecule: ribosomal RNA, 450 nt
Filed under: uncultured bacterium
Lineage: Bacteria
Description: partial 16S ribosomal RNA
Rfam family: Bacterial small subunit ribosomal RNA
Source: RNAcentral
GUGGGGAAUUUUGGACAAUGGGCGAAAGCCUGAUCCAGCCAUGCGGCGUGCAGGAUGAAGGCCUUCGGGUUGUAAACUGCUUUUGUACGGAACGAAAAGACUCCUUCUAAUAAAGGGGGUCCAUGACGGUACCGUAAGAAUAAGCACCGGCUAACUACGUGCCAGCAGCCGCGGUAAUACGUAGGGUGCGAGCGUUAAUCGGAAUUACUGGGCGUAAAGCGUGCGCAGGCGGCUAUGCAAGACAGAUGUGAAAUCCCCGGGCUCAACCUGGGAACUGCAUUUGUGACUGCAUGGCUAGAGUGCGUCAGAGGGAGGUGGAAUUCCGCGUGUAGCAGUGAAAUGCGUAGAGAUGCGGAGGAACACCGAUGGCGAAGGCAAUCCCCUGGGCCUGUACUGACGCUCAUGCACGAAAGCGUGGGGAGCAAACAGGAUUAGAUACCCUAGUAGUCC